AGUUGACAAAGAGAAUUUCAGGAAUGGGACUAAAGCUUCUGUUAGCACAUUGAGAUGGCGACAAGUACAUCCAAAAAACACUACAAGAAUUGGAAAACCAUAUGUUUAAUUCUAGGUUCAAAUUAUGGACAAUCUGGAGAAGAAAGACGUUCACACUGGUUUUCUUAAAUGCAGGAGGCCUAAUGAGAUGAGCUAAGGUGAAGAGAUAACAGCACUGAAGUCUGGCUUCAUACCAAAAGAGGAUCAGCAAGGCAUUGGGAGGCGACUCCCUGCUGUUAAUGCAGUGAGAGAGAAGCAGAGGAGCAGCCAGACGAGCAAAGACAGCCGGCACCUCACACUGGCUUUGGGUUUGUCCUCUGGAUUAUCCUGCGUUCCUUGGUCUGCACGGCUCUGGUCUCCUGCUCACUCCCCAACCUCCGACCAGCACUUGGAACUUUCUGGGCUGUAACCUCAACAUCUCGUUGGCAGCCUACCACCUAAAACCUACCUUAUCCUCUGGGCUUGGACUGAACUAUAAGACCAGGUUAGUGACUCACACAUUCAUCAUCAUCCUCUGCCAUUUAGACAUGGUUACUGACCUGGUCUUCUAGUCCAGUCCGAGUUAGUGACUCACAAGUUCAUUAUCAUAAUUCGCUAUAUUGACAUGGUCACUAACCUGUGCUCUCCUGCAGAGGUUCCUGCCUUAGAUGCCAACGCUGUUCUCUUCAGUUUCGUCUUAAAUAAACGAUUUGUUAAAUGUGUCUUUCCACCUCGGAUACUGGGUCCUUUUGUUCUGAGCUUUACAGCACGGUUUAUUUUGGUUACUCUAUUUUGGUUUUGGUUACAAUGGAUGUUAAGCAGUUUUUUUAAAUGGCUGCGUCGUGUGCUUUUACAAGGGACCAACUACUAUGAAACAAACCCUGUACAACUUGAUUGACUAUGAGAAUUGUUUUCAGCGCAGAUUGUAAACAACAGGUUGUUUUGCCCGAGAGAGGCUGCAGGCAGUUUAAAGCAUGAUUAAGUCCAAAGGCAAGGUGGUGAAGGGACUUGAAUGUCAACAUGAGAACUUUAUACCAGCCUAACAUCACACCACUGCAACAGCGCAGCUGUAGAGGUAUUCAGCAGCACCAAAUCCCUGGGGGUGCACAUGACAGACAAUGUCACUUGACUAUAAACACCUCACUGAUCGAAAGGGUACAAAAGCGCUUGUAAUUGCUGCGGAGGAUGAGGAAAGCCCACCUGCCCCCAUUCAUCCUCAUGACCUUCUACAGAAGCACGAUAGAGAGCAUUCUCACAGUGUGGUGUGAAGGCUGCAACACCUCAGACUGGAAGAUUGUGAAGAGAGUGGUGAAAACAGCAGAGAGGAUCAUCGGCGCUCAACUCCCCUCCGUAAAAGACAUUUCAUCCCAGUGCUGCAUGUCCCGAGCCCGUAUCAUCAUCAGCGACCCCACACACCCCCAGCAUGGUCCGUUCUCCAUGCUGCCCUCUGGGAAGAGUUUUUGCAGCAUUCAAUGCAGGACCAGCAGGUUCUAUAACAGCUUUUUCCCCAUUUCCAUAAGACUGUUGAACUUUUGAAAACUCUAAUCAAAGUCACAAAACGGGACUCUUGAUCACACUGUAAACAUUAUACAUGCACUACAUAGUGAAUAUACAAAAUAGAAAAUAGGGGGGAGCCUGGCCUUUGAAACAGACUGGGUAGGGAUUACGUUCUUUAGCCCUGCCCUGUCAUGCUUGCACUGAUCUGUGGUGCAAAUCAUCACAGCUAGAUUGCCAGCAACUGUGGUUGUCUGCUGCUGCCCGUCAGAUUUACUUGUCCCAUCUCCUUUGCUUUACUGGACUUGACUCGCACAUUUCAGUCUCUGCACUUGUUGAAUUUAAUGUCUUAUAAAUAUUGGCACUAAACAAUGCCUGUCUCUUGACUUCUGUCACCUCUAGGAGCCAGUACUGACAAUGAGCAGGAGCAACACUUGCAAAAAGGCUUUUAUUUUACUCAACCAGAACACUUCUGAUCUCCUGCCUGUUCUCCGACCUCUGGGACAUCAGCGCCUGGGACUCUCUGGGCGGUACCCGCAUCUUGUUGGCAGUCGACCAGCUGAAACCAGCCUCAUCCUCUAGGCACGGACGGACCUAUAAGAACAGGUUAGUGACUCACACGUUUAUUAUCAUCCUCCGCCAGAUAGACAUGGUCAAUAACCUGUGUUUUCCUGCAGCAGCGGUUCCUGCCUUAGAUCCCCACUGUGUUCACUGCAGCUCCUUUUUUAAUAAACAUUUUGAGAAAUCCAACUGUCUGUCUGCCUGGAUUACUGGGUCCAAUCUUUCUGAGCGUGACAUAUGUAUAAUUUAUGCAUUUUGUAUAUUUAUUUCACUAUGUAUCUUUCCCGGUCUCAUUAAAGCUAUUGGACACAGAUCCGAUUUGAUAUUAGAUCCUGAACUACAACAUUUUGCUUCUUGCUGAAUCUUUUUGGCAAAAAAAAAUGCUUAAUGUCAUAUAGCAGAAAUAAGGUUUUAUGCUUUUGCUGUAAGUCUCUUUCAUUUUCUUGUUUGCUGCGUGCAUGCGAGCUACAGUAUGUGUAUGCUUGUUUGUGCAAGUGUGUACGUUUCCAUGUACGAGCACAUGUCUGCAGGGCAGCUGUGUCCUCAAUAUGUGGAGACCUGACCCAGCUGUCACAAAGCAUACUGUGUGAGGUCUCUGAAAGCAAGGAAAUGAAAUGCAUGUUCUUCACUCCACAGGAAGUGGCAAAGAAAUAUCAGUAGUUUUAUUAACAAAUGAGUUGAAUGUGAACACAUAUCACAUUUAAUAUCUCACAGAAAAAAUGCUUCUUUUUAAUUUUAUGCACAAAGGGGCACAAAGUAGCUACUCUGGAUGUAAGAAAACGUGAUUUUUAUGAAAUAUCUUGUACAUCCACAUAAGAAUUUUCAGAAUAACUGUAUUGUAUUGAUGCACGGAGGAAUAUUUGGAAGGCCACAGUGAAUCUGUGAAAGAGAUGCUCUGUUUGAGGAAGGACAUUUAUUUCACUAUAUUAAGAAAGGCAAGUUUACUUUAAAGCACAUUUCAGUAGUAAGACUAUUCAAAGAGCUGUAUGUGAAAAAAUUACUAGAAACAAUCAAAAUGAAAAAUAUUUUGCAGAGUCAUAUAGGCAAUUAAGUAGUUAAUGAGUAUAAUUGAUUUAAGAGAAUAAAAAUUAAUCAGAAGGAUUAUAAGAUAUAAAAAGAUAUAAAAUGAUUGAUAAUAGAAUUGAAAUAAAGCUUCAGCACUUUUUAUCGUUUUUUGAGAGUUUAUGUAGUAUAAGAUUAUUAGAGCAUAACCUGCUUCUCCAUGCUUGGUUCUGGUUUUGAGACUACAAAGUAUAUUUGAGUCAGAAGACUUGUGAAGUAUCAAACUACUGAAGGCAUUAUGUGACAGCGGCGCUGGAUGCACUCAUUAAGCAUUAGUCUGGCAGGUUACUU
Long non-coding RNA from Cyprinodon variegatus (sheepshead minnow), 3426 nucleotides. RefSeq lists it as uncharacterized. The record is from RefSeq and is a predicted model, not a curated record. The transcript is spliced from 4 exons. NCBI's taxonomy places the organism in Eukaryota, Metazoa, Chordata, Actinopteri, Cyprinodontiformes, Cyprinodontidae.